This 361-nucleotide ribosomal RNA is filed under the name uncultured bacterium. Its description in RNAcentral is "bacterial SSU rRNA". It matches the Rfam family "Bacterial small subunit ribosomal RNA", at positions 417 to 769 of the family's 1533-position model. The record is from RNAcentral.
UUCGGGUUGUAAAACCCUUUCGUGCGGAAAGAAUAGUCCUGUAGCGAAUAACUACGGGAUUUGACGGUACCGCAGGAAGAAGCACCGGCAAACCCCGUGCCAGCAGCCGCGUUAAUACGGAGGGUGCAAGCGUUGUCCGGAGUUAUUGGGCGUAAAGGGGGCGUAGGUGGUUGUGACAGUCAGAUGUGAAAUCCUUCGGCUCAACCGAAGAACUGCAUCUGAAACUUCAUAGCUCGAGUACAGGAGAGGGAAACGGAAUUCCCGGUGUAGAGGUGAAAUUCGUAGAUAUCGGGAGGAACACCAGUGGCGAAGGCGAUUUCCUGGCCUGAUACUGACGCUGAGGCGCGAAAGCGUGGGGAGC